GUCCCUGUAGCGCAAUAGAUAGCGCGUUGGACUUCUAAUCCAAAAGUUGUGGGUUCAAAUCCCACAUGGGAUG
This 73-nucleotide transfer RNA is filed under the name Trichonephila clavipes. It matches the Rfam family "tRNA". From Rfam's summary of the family: Transfer RNA (tRNA) molecules are approximately 80 nucleotides in length. Their secondary structure includes four short double-helical elements and three loops (D, anti-codon, and T loops). Lineage: Eukaryota; Metazoa; Arthropoda; Arachnida; Araneae; Nephilidae. The record is from Rfam by way of RNAcentral.